This 497-nucleotide ribosomal RNA is filed under the name uncultured bacterium. Its description in RNAcentral is "partial 16S ribosomal RNA". It matches the Rfam family "Bacterial small subunit ribosomal RNA", at positions 28 to 507 of the family's 1533-position model. The record is from RNAcentral.
GAUGAACGCUGGCGGCGUGCCUAAUACAUGCAAGUCGAGCGAACAGACGAGGAGCUUGCUCCUCUGACGUUAGCGGCGGACGGGUGAGUAACACGUGGAUAACCUACCUAUAAGACUGGGAUAACUUCGGGAAACCGGAGCUAAUACCGGAUAAUAUAUUGAACCGCAUGGUUCAAUAGUGAAAGACGGUUUUGCUGUCACUUAUAGAUGGAUCCGCGCCGCAUUAGCUAGUUGGUAAGGUAACGGCUUACCAAGGCGACGAUGCGUAGCCGACCUGAGAGGGUGAUCGGCCACACUGGAACUGAGACACGGUCCAGACUCCUACGGGAGGCAGCAGUAGGGAAUCUUCCGCAAUGGGCGAAAGCCUGACGGAGCAACGCCGCGUGAGUGAUGAAGGUCUUCGGAUCGUAAAACUCUGUUAUUAGGGGAGAACAAAUGUGUAAGUAACUAUGCACGUCUUGACGGUACCUAAUCAGAAAGCCACGGCUAACUACGUG